Molecule: long non-coding RNA, 973 nt
Organism: Prosopis cineraria
Lineage: Eukaryota; Viridiplantae; Streptophyta; Magnoliopsida; Fabales; Fabaceae
Exons: 2
Source: RefSeq, a predicted model, not a curated record
CGGCUGGUGCAUAUAGAAAUGAGAAUGAAGAAGAAGAAGAAGAAGAAGAAGAAGAGACAACGAAUGGAAAUGUAUCGGACAGAAGCAAUAGCCAUUGGAUGGGUGGCGCUUCUCUGAGUGAUCUGUGUUGUGGGUACUAAGGAGACAAUGUCUGAAACGGAAGGUGGAGCUUCUCUUCAGUCAAGAGUCUUUAGUCAACGAGAACAUAGUUUUUUCACCCCCUUACAUCAUGAGCUUCCUGUCCGUGCUUGGACUUUUUACCUCCGUGCACGGACUUUUUACCUCCGUGUCAUUUGGUUCAGAAAAAUAUUAGGACGGACCUCUUACACGAAAUAGCUUCUCCGAACUAGGUGGAGGGACUAGACCACCGCCAUUCUAAAUUCAUUGAAUUGAAUUUACUGAUUCAGAUUUUAGAAGGGGUGGCCUUUAAAGGUUGAAAUGAAUUAUUCUCUCUUAUAGAGAAAAAGAAGGGGGAAAAAAACUAAGUGAGUACUAGACUAAUUGGAUCAUUCUUCCACUCCUAUGGACCAAAAUCUGGUCAUGUUAAUUUUUGGGCUACAACUAGAUUAAACAUGAUUAGAGGUUGCCUAAUCUAGUCCUUUCUAUGAAAGAAACCAAACUUUGGAUUAGGCUAAAGUCUAAUCUUGCUCAGUUCUUUGUGCAGCCCUAAUCAAAACUAUACUCCACAUGUUGGACAUCUAGUGGGAAGCUUCCGUGAUUACUAAAAAAUGCAGGUUGCAGGGGAAAUGGGAGACAGAAAGAGUUGCUGUUAAUCAUAAGAACAAUGGAAGCCAUGGUUGGUCUACAAGGAGCCUUUUCUUGGACACAAAGUAAGCCAACGUGAAUGCAUCUCAUUGUUUCGUUUCUUGAACCAUCUUUUAAUGUGGAGUCUGCAAUAUCAAAGGCAGUGUCUCUCAUCCAGCUUUUCCAUGCCUGCAUGAAGUUGCUUAAUUAGUUCAAAGCUUUUCAAUUA